This 430-nucleotide ribosomal RNA is filed under the name Pseudomonadota bacterium. Its description in RNAcentral is "Proteobacteria bacterium partial 16S ribosomal RNA". It matches the Rfam family "Bacterial small subunit ribosomal RNA", at positions 355 to 776 of the family's 1533-position model. The record is from RNAcentral. Lineage: Bacteria; Pseudomonadati; Pseudomonadota.
UGGGGAAUAUUGGACAAUGGGCGAAAGCCUGAUCCAGCCAUGCCGCGUGUGUGAAGAAGGUCUUAUGGUUGUAAAGCACUUUAAGCGAGGAGGAGGGUACUGGUAUUAAUACUACCAGGUACUGGACGUUACUCGCAGAAUAAGCACCGGCUAACUCUGUGCCAGCAGCCGCGGUAAUACAGAGGGUGCAAGCGUUAAUCGGAAUUACUGGGCGUAAAGCGCGCGUAGGUGGUUCGUUAAGUUGAAUGUGAAAGCCCCGGGCUCAACCUGGGAACUGCAUCCAAAACUGGCGGGCUAGAGUAGGGCAGAGGGUGGUGGAAUUUCCUGUGUAGCGGUGAAAUGCGUAGAUAUAGGAAGGAACACCAGUGGCGAAGGCGACCACCUGGGCUCAUACUGACACUGAGGUGCGAAAGCGUGGGGAGCAAACAGG